UACGUAGGUGGCAAGCGUUGUCCGGAUUUAUUGGGUUUAAAGGGUGUGUAGGCGGUUGCUUAAGUUUGGUGUGAAAUCUCCCGGCUCAACUGGGAGGGUGCGCCGAAUACUGAGUGACUCGAGUGCGGGAGAGGAGAGUGGAAUUCCUGGUGUAGCGGUGAAAUGCGUAGAUAUCAGGAGGAACACCGGUGGUGUAGACGGCUCUCUGGACCGUAACUGACGCUGAGACACGAAAGCGUGGGUAGCAAACAGG
This 253-nucleotide ribosomal RNA is filed under the name uncultured bacterium. Its description in RNAcentral is "partial 16S ribosomal RNA". It matches the Rfam family "Bacterial small subunit ribosomal RNA", at positions 524 to 776 of the family's 1533-position model. The record is from RNAcentral.